This 465-nucleotide ribosomal RNA is filed under the name uncultured bacterium. RNAcentral's name for it is "partial 16S ribosomal RNA". It matches the Rfam family "Bacterial small subunit ribosomal RNA", at positions 28 to 507 of the family's 1533-position model. The record is from RNAcentral.
GACGAACGCUGGCGGCGUGCUUAACACAUGCAAGUCGAACGGAAAGGCCCCUUUGGGGGUACUCGAGUGGCGAACGGGUGAGUAACACGUGAGUAACCUGCCCUUGACUUCGGGAUAACUUCAGGAAACUGGGGCUAAUACCGGAUAGGAAUCCUUGCUGCAUGGUGGGGGUUGGAAAGCUUCGGCGGUUUCGGAUGGACUCGCGGCUUAUCAGCUUGUUGGUGGGGUAGUGGCUUACCAAGGCUUUGACGGGUAGCCGGCCUGAGAGGGCGACCGGCCACAUUGGGACUGAGAUACGGCCCAGACUCCUACGGGAGGCAGCAGUGGGGAAUAUUGCACAAUGGGCGGAAGCCUGAUGCAGCAACGCCGCGGGCGGGAUGACGGCCUUCGGGUUGUAAACCGCUUUCAGCAGGGGCGAAGCUUGUGGUGACGGUACCUGCAGAAGAAGCACCGGCUAACUACGUG